UAAGUGGAAGCCAAAUAAGGCAACUAUCUGUUACAUAGUAAUCUGCUUGGACCCAAGCCCGCUUAA
This 66-nucleotide transfer RNA is filed under the name Nereis zonata. Its description in RNAcentral is "tRNA-Asn". Lineage: Eukaryota; Metazoa; Annelida; Polychaeta; Phyllodocida; Nereididae. The record is from RNAcentral.